CCCACCCCACCCAAGUCCACCCCCUGCUGCCGCCCCAUGCACUUCAUGGCAUGGGGACAUCAAACUCAGACCAUCCUCCAGCCGACUUUCUAGGCUUGGAUUGAAUGAUUGAAGAUGCCCAGGCUCUGGCCCAACAACUGUCAUCUUCCACAGGGAGCCUCGGGUGGCCGUUACAGUAUCGGGGCAAUCCAUUUCCUUCCUCAUGGACACCGGGGCCACUACUUGACCCUAAGGGAGUUUUGGGGACUCAGAUCUCCUUCUCAUCUCCCUGUUGUCAAGACUUUGAUUGUCUUCAGAUGGUGCCUCAAGCCAGUAGUGACCAAAGAUCAGACUUUAUAGUCCUGCUAUUACAGUCAGGCCUGGCUGUGACAUUGUGACCUCCUAUCUUCAGCUGUUAACUCUGUGCCUCUUUGUGGAAGACUGUGUCCAUUCUUUUGGCCUCUCAAUGCCUGUUACCAAGAGUCACAGAAAGAUUGUAAGCUGCUGAUGCAAAUGAUGUCUGGACCCGGGGCUGUUCAAGCUGCUGCCCAAAGGCCUUUUCCCUGUCAUGGUAUUAUAAGGGUUGUAACAAGACUCUCCCAUAUAUGCCUCCUCACUAUGUUUCAAAUUCGUGAACUUUUUGCCCACUAUUUAUUAUUGUAUGCAUACAUGGUUUGUGUAGUGGGUAGCCAUUCCAGCUUGGAUCUGGAAGUUCCAACCCCCAUUGAGACUCUGGCAACUGUCACACCUACGAG
Molecule: non-coding RNA, 734 nt
Organism: Peromyscus maniculatus bairdii (prairie deer mouse)
Lineage: Eukaryota; Metazoa; Chordata; Mammalia; Rodentia; Cricetidae
Source: RefSeq, a predicted model, not a curated record